RNAcentral lists this ribosomal RNA (504 nucleotides) under uncultured bacterium. RNAcentral's name for it is "partial 16S ribosomal RNA". It matches the Rfam family "Bacterial small subunit ribosomal RNA", at positions 28 to 507 of the family's 1533-position model. The record is from RNAcentral.
GACGGACGCUGGCGGCGUGCCUAAUACAUGCAAGUAGAACGCACAGUUUAUACCGUAGCUUGCUACACCAUAGACUGUGAGUUGCGAACGGGUGAGUAACGCGUAGGUAACCUGCCUGGUAGCGGGGGAUAACUAUUGGAAACGAUAGCUAAUACCGCAUAAUAUUAAUUAUUGCAUGAUAAUUAAUUGAAAGGUGCAAUUGCACCACUACCAGAUGGACCUGCGUUGUAUUAGCUAGUAGGUGAGGUAACGGCUCACCUAGGCGACGAUACAUAGCCGACCUGAGAGGGUGAUCGGCCACACUGGGACUGAGACACGGCCCAGACUCCUACGGGAGGCAGCAGUAGGGAAUCUUCGGCAAUGGACGAAAGUCUGACCGAGCAACGCCGCGUGAGUGAAGAAGGUUUUCGGAUCGUAAAGCUCUGUUGUAAGAGAAGAACGGGUGUGAGAGUGAAAGUUCACACUGUGACGGUAUCUUACCAGAAAGGGACGGCUAACUACGUG